This 253-nucleotide ribosomal RNA is filed under the name uncultured bacterium. Its description in RNAcentral is "partial 16S ribosomal RNA". It matches the Rfam family "Bacterial small subunit ribosomal RNA", at positions 524 to 776 of the family's 1533-position model. The record is from RNAcentral.
UACGUAGGGGGCUAGCGUUGUCCGGAUUUAUUGGGCGUAAAGAGCGUGUAGGCGGCCAGGUAGGUCUGGUGUGAAAACUCGAGGCUUAACCUCGAGAUGUCAUCGGAAACCAUCUGGCUAGAGUCCGGAAGAGGAGAGUGGAAUUCAUGGUGUAGCGGUGAAAUGCGCAGAUAUCAGGAAGAACACCAAUGGCGAAAGCAGCUCUCUGGGACGGUACUGACGCUGAGACGCGAAAGCGUGGGGAGCGAACAGG